RNAcentral lists this ribosomal RNA (324 nucleotides) under uncultured eukaryote. Its description in RNAcentral is "partial 18S ribosomal RNA". It matches the Rfam family "Eukaryotic small subunit ribosomal RNA", at positions 1470 to 1796 of the family's 1831-position model. The record is from RNAcentral.
CCCUUAGAUGUUCUGGGCUGCACGCGCGCUACACUGAAGCGUUCAACGAGUAUUCACCUUGCCCGGGAGGGUUGGGUAAUCUUUUCAAAACGCUUCGUGAUGGGGAUAGAUUAUUGCAAUUAUUAAUCUUCAACGAGGAAUUCCUAGUAAGCGCGAGUCAUCAGCUCGUGCUGAUUACGUCCCUGCCCUUUGUACACACCGCCCGUCGCUCCUACCGAUUGAGUGAUCAGGUGAAUAAUUCGGACUGCAGCAGGCCUGGUCUCCGGGUUUUGCAGCGGAAAGUUUAGUGAACCUUAUCACUUAGAGGAAGGAGAAGUCGUAACA